RNAcentral lists this microRNA precursor (94 nucleotides) under Octodon degus (degu). RNAcentral's name for it is "miRNA (ENSODEG00000022708.1)". Lineage: Eukaryota; Metazoa; Chordata; Mammalia; Rodentia; Octodontidae. The record is from RNAcentral.
GAGGCAGGAGGAUCACUGUGAGUUCAAGGCCAGCCUGCUCUACAAAAUGAGUUCAAAGCCAGCAUGAAUGACACAGUGAGACCCAUUCUCAAAA